AAUCAGAACGAGACGUCUGGGUAGAGUGCUUGGGGCCGGCGUUGAACAUGCUGUCCCUCGCCCUGGAGAGGAACUGUGAUAACCCCGAGGUUUGGAGCCACUGCCUGUCCCUGAGGUGUAGGAGAUGUGUGGAGCACGCGCCCGACUACUAAGUCUGGAACUAUCUGAAGCUGAAGAGCUCCUUUGAGUCCACCUCAACCUGUUCACCGGACGCAUGGACAGCACUCUGGCUCUGUGGCAGAUGAGUGCAGAGUUUCUGGACCACAACGGAGAAGUUCCUUCACUCCAUUCUUGCCUUCUUCAUACUGUUCUCACUGUUUACACAUAGUAUUGUAUGCCAUGAAAAAAAUGAAUAAAAAAGUAAGUAAUAGUAGUAGUAUGUAUUAUGUCAAAAAAUCUCUGAAAAAGUCAUAACAUAGUUAUUACAUUGUAAUAACACUGUUAUAACAUGUAUUAUGUCAAAAAGUCGUACAGAAUGUCAAAAAGUGUUAUUACAUAGUUAUUACAUUGUAAUAACACUGUCAUAACAUGUGUUAUGUUUGAAAAUCUGUCAGAAAGUGUUAUUACACAGUGCCAUAAAAGUGGACGUAAAUCAUUUUUCGUCCACAAAAAAAAAGUUUUUUUUUCUUCAAAUUACAAUGUUUUCCUUUCUCCUAUUCUGGCCUCUUCCUUCUUCGGAGUUGUUCUACUCUGCUCUGAGCUGUCCUAUUCUGGCCUCUUCCUUUCUCUGACUUGUCCUACUUUUCUCUGAGCUGUCCUACUCUGGUCUCUUCCUUUCUCUGACUUGUCCUACUCUUCUCUGAGUUGUCCUACUCUGGUCUCUUCCU
Long non-coding RNA from Sander lucioperca (pikeperch), 827 nucleotides. RefSeq lists it as uncharacterized. NCBI's taxonomy places the organism in Eukaryota, Metazoa, Chordata, Actinopteri, Perciformes, Percidae. The transcript has 4 exons. The record is from RefSeq and is a predicted model, not a curated record.